Molecule: ribosomal RNA, 641 nt
Filed under: Blastococcus sp. I12A-02986
Lineage: Bacteria; Bacillati; Actinomycetota; Actinomycetes; Geodermatophilales; Geodermatophilaceae
Description: bacterial SSU rRNA
Rfam family: Bacterial small subunit ribosomal RNA
Source: RNAcentral
GGCGAACGGGUGAGUAACACGUGGGCAACCUGCCCCUGGCUCUGGGAUAACUCCAAGAAAUUGGGGCUAAUACCGGAUAUGACCGCUGACCGCAUGGUCUGGUGGUGGAAAGAUUUAUCGGCUGGGGAUGGGCCCGCGGCCUAUCAGCUUGUUGGUGGGGUAGUGGCCUACCAAGGCGACGACGGGUAGCCGGCCUGAGAGGGUGACCGGCCACACUGGGACUGAGACACGGCCCAGACUCCUACGGGAGGCAGCAGUGGGGAAUAUUGCGCAAUGGGCGAAAGCCUGACGCAGCGACGCCGCGUGGGGGAUGACGGCCUUCGGGUUGUAAACCUCUUUCAGCAGGGACGAAGCGCAAGUGACGGUACCUGCAGAAGAAGCACCGGCCAACUACGUGCCAGCAGCCGCGGUAAUACGUAGGGUGCAAGCGUUGUCCGGAAUUAUUGGGCGUAAAGAGCUCGUAGGCGGUUCGUCGCGUCGGCUGUGAAAACCUGAGGCUCAACCUCAGGCCUGCAGUCGAUACGGGCGGACUUGAGUACUGCAGGGGAGACUGGAAUUCCUGGUGUAGCGGUGAAAUGCGCAGAUAUCAGGAGGAACACCGGUGGCGAAGGCGGGUCUCUGGGCAGUAACUGACGCUGAGG